GUGGGGAAUCUUCCGCAAUGGACGAAAGUCUGACGGAGCAACGCCGCGUGAGUGAAGAAGGUUUUCGGAUCGUAAAGCUCUUUCGUUAGGGACGAACGUGCUCUUUGUAAAUAAUGAGGAGUAAUGACGGUACCUAAAUAAGAAGCCACGUCUAACUACGUGCCAGCAGCCGCGGUAAUACGUAGGUGGCAAGCGUUGUCCGGAAUUAUUGGGCGUAAAGCGCGCGCAGGCGGGAUAUCAAGUCUGUCUUAAAAGUGCGAGGCUCAACCUCGUGAGGGGACAGAAACUGGUAUUCUUGAGUGUCGGAGAGGAAAGUGGAAUUCCAAGUGUAGCGGUGAAAUGCGUAGAGAUUUGGAAGAACACCAGUGGCGAAGGCGACUUUCUGGACGAUGUCUGACGCUGAGGCGCGAAAGCUAGGGGAGCGAACGGGAUUAGAAACCCUAGUAGUCC
Molecule: ribosomal RNA, 450 nt
Filed under: uncultured bacterium
Lineage: Bacteria
Description: partial 16S ribosomal RNA
Rfam family: Bacterial small subunit ribosomal RNA
Source: RNAcentral